GACGAACGCUGGCGGCGUGCUUAACACAUGCAAGUCGAACGGAAAGGCCCUGCUUUUGUGGGGUGCUCGAGUGGCGAACGGGUGAGUAACACGUGAGUAACCUGCCCUUGACUUUGGGAUAACUUCAGGAAACUGGGGCUAAUACCGGAUAGGAGCUCCUGCUGCAUGGUGGGGGUUGGAAAGUUUCGGCGGUUGGGGAUGGACUCGCGGCUUAUCAGCUUGUUGGUGGGGUAGUGGCUUACCAAGGCUUUGACGGGUAGCCGGCCUGAGAGGGUGACCGGCCACAUUGGGACUGAGAUACGGCCCAGACUCCUACGGGAGGCAGCAGUGGGGAAUAUUGCACAAUGGGCGGAAGCCUGAUGCAGCAACGCCGCGUGCGGGAUGACGGCCUUCGGGUUGUAAACCGCUUUCGCCUGUGACGAAGCGUGAGUGACGGUAAUGGGUAAAGAAGCACCGGCUAACUACGUGCCAGCAGCCGCGGUGAUACGUAGGGUGCGAGCGUUGUCCGGAUUUAUUGGGCGUAAAGGGCUCGUAGGUGGUUGAUCGCGUCGGAAGUGUAAUCUUGGGGCUUAACCCUGAGCGUGCUUUCGAUACGGGUUGACUUGAGGAAGGUAGGGGAGAAUGGAAUUCCUGGUGGAGCGGUGGAAUGCGCAGAUAUCAGGAGGAACACCAGUGGCGAAGGCGGUUCUCUGGGCCUUUCCUGACGCUGAGGAGCGAAAGCGUGGGGAGCGAACAGGCUUAGAUACCCUGGUAGUCCACGCUGUAAACGGUGGGUACUAGGUGUGGGGUCCAUUCCACGGGUUCCGUGCCGUAGCUAACGCUUUAAGUACCCCGCCUGGGGAGUACGGCCGCAAGGCUAAAACUCAAAGGAAUUGACGGGGCCCCGCACAAGCGGCGGAGCAUGCGGAUUAAUUCGAUGCAACGCGUAGAACCUUACCUGGGUUUGACAUGGAUCGGGAGUGCUCAGAGAUGGGUGUGCCUCUUUUGGGGUCGGUUCACAGGUGGUGCAUGCCUGUCGUCAGCUCGUGUCGUGAGAUGUUGGGUUAAGUCCCGCAACGAGCGCAACCCUUGUUCACUGUUGCCAGCACGUUAUGGUGGGGACUCAGUGGAGACCGCCGGGGUCAACUCGGAGGAAGGUGGGGAUGACGUCAAGUCCUCAUGCCCCUUAUGUCCAGGGCUUCACGCAUGCUACAAUGGCUGGUACAGAGAGUGGCGAGCCUGUGAGGGUGCGCGAAUCUCGGAAAGCCGGUCUCAGUUCGGAUUGGGGUCUGCAACUCGACCUCAUGAAGUCGGAGUCGCUAGUAAUCGCAGAUCAGCAACGCUGCGGUGAAUACGUUCCCGGG
This 1343-nucleotide ribosomal RNA is filed under the name uncultured bacterium. RNAcentral's name for it is "16S ribosomal RNA". It matches the Rfam family "Bacterial small subunit ribosomal RNA", at positions 28 to 1378 of the family's 1533-position model. The record is from RNAcentral.